CGGGAUAUCCAAACACGAGAAAACAAUGUAUGAAACAUAUGAAACAUAUAUUUCAUACAUUGUUUUCGAGUGUUUGGAUAUCCCG
Paramuricea clavata is the source of this 85-nucleotide non-coding RNA. NCBI's taxonomy places the organism in Eukaryota, Metazoa, Cnidaria, Anthozoa, Malacalcyonacea, Plexauridae. The record is from the annotation of a GenBank genome assembly.